RNAcentral lists this ribosomal RNA (550 nucleotides) under uncultured bacterium. Its description in RNAcentral is "partial 16S ribosomal RNA". It matches the Rfam family "Bacterial small subunit ribosomal RNA", at positions 355 to 896 of the family's 1533-position model. RNAcentral also lists the same sequence under 1 other name. The record is from RNAcentral.
UAGGGAAUCUUCCACAAUGGACGCAAGUCUGAUGGAGCAACGCCGCGUGAGUGAAGAAGGCUUUCGGGUCGUAAAACUCUGUUGUUGGAGAAGAAUGGUCGGCAGAGUAACUGUUGUCGGCGUGACGGUAUCCAACCAGAAAGCCACGGCUAACUACGUGCCAGCAGCCGCGGUAAUACGUAGGUGGCAAGCGUUAUCCGGAUUUAUUGGGCGUAAAGCGAGCGCAGGCGGUUUUUUAAGUCUGAUGUGAAAGCCCUCGGCUUAACCGAGGAAGCGCAUCGGAAACUGGGAAACUUGAGUGCAGAAGAGGACAGUGGAACUCCAUGUGUAGCGGUGAAAUGCGUAGAUAUAUGGAAGAACACCAGUGGCGAAGGCGGCUGUCUGGUCUGUAACUGACGCUGAGGCUCGAAAGCAUGGGUAGCGAACAGGAUUAGAUACCCUGGUAGUCCAUGCCGUAAACGAUGAAUGCUAGGUGUUGGAGGGUUUCCGCCCUUCAGUGCCGCAGCUAACGCAUUAAGCAUUCCGCCUGGGGAGUACGACCGCAAGGUUG